Molecule: transfer RNA, 74 nt
Filed under: Cordylochernes scorpioides
Lineage: Eukaryota; Metazoa; Arthropoda; Arachnida; Pseudoscorpiones; Chernetidae
Description: tRNA-Thr
Rfam family: tRNA
About the family: Transfer RNA (tRNA) molecules are approximately 80 nucleotides in length. Their secondary structure includes four short double-helical elements and three loops (D, anti-codon, and T loops).
Source: RNAcentral
GUUCAGCUUGUCUAGUGGACAUGGCAUUUGCCCGGUAAGCAGAACACUGUGGGUUCGAUUCCCAUCCCUGGAUA